RNAcentral lists this small RNA (1048 nucleotides) under uncultured Pelagibacterales bacterium. RNAcentral describes it as "bacterial SSU rRNA". The stretch from base 1 to 658 matches the Rfam family "Bacterial small subunit ribosomal RNA", at positions 867 to 1533 of the family's 1533-position model. Lineage: Bacteria; Pseudomonadati; Pseudomonadota; Alphaproteobacteria; Candidatus Pelagibacterales. The record is from RNAcentral.
CACCGCCUGGGGAGUACGACCGCAAGGUUAAAACUCAAAUGAAUUGACGGGGACCCGCACAAGUAGUGGAGCAUGUGGUUUAAUUCGAAGAUACGCGCAGAACCUUACCAACACUUGACAUGUUCGUCGCGACUUUAAGAGAUUAAAGUUUUCGGUUCGGCCGGACGAAACACAGGUGCUGCAUGGCCGUCGUCAGCUCGUGUCGUGAGAUGUUGGGUUAAGUCCCGCAACGAGCGCAACCCUCACUUUUAGUUGCCAUCAUUUAGUUGGGCACUCUGAAAGAACUGCCAGUGAUAAGCUGGAGGAAGGUGGGGAUGACGUCAAGUCCUCAUGGCCCUUACGUGUUGGGCUACACACGUGCUACAAUGGUAUUUACAACAGGAAGCAAGACGGCGACGUUAAGCAAAUCCUCAAAAAAUACCUCAGUUCGGAUUGCACUCUGCAACUCGAGUGCAUGAAGCUGGAAUUACUAGUAAUCGUGGAUCAGCGUGCCACGGUGAAUGCGUUCCCGGGUCUUGUACACACCGCCCGUCACACCAUGGGAGUUGGUUCUACCUUAAGGCAAGGUUUAAUACCCUUGACCACGGUAUAGUCAGCGACUGGGGUGAAGUCGUAACAAGGUAGCCGUAGGGGAACCUGCGGCUGGAUUACCUCCUUUCUAAGGAUGAGCAAGAGUAAAAUUUUGCUCUAAAUAAUAUACAGGUUAAUGUUGACCGUCCUCAUUUCUCUUCUUGAAUUAGUGUUUCUCUUGCAUGGGGGCCGGUAGCUCAGUUGGUUAGAGCACACCCUUGAUAAGGGUGGGGUCGAAAGUUCGAGUCUUUCUCGGCCCACCAACUUAAGAUUAAGGGGGAUUAGCUCAGCUGGGAGAGCGCCUGAUUUGCAUUCAGGAGGUCAGCGGUUCGAUCCCGCUAUCCUCCACCAAACACUUAGUUAUAUAAAUCGUGAAUUAUGAAAUAAUAAUUAAUAUCAAUAUCUAUAUCCGAACAUUAGUAAUGUUAUUAGCUAAUGUUCAUAAUAAAAAUUUGAUUCAACACAGAAUUUUUUUCUG